RNAcentral lists this long non-coding RNA (9268 nucleotides) under Equus caballus (horse). Its description in RNAcentral is "lncRNA (ENSECAG00000045941.1)". Lineage: Eukaryota; Metazoa; Chordata; Mammalia; Perissodactyla; Equidae. The record is from RNAcentral.
UACCGGUUCGCUUUGCGCCCUCCUCCUCCUCCCGCGAACGGGGCUCCGGCGCUCCCACAAUGCACCGGGCGCGGCCGGGCUCCCUUAAGCGUCGCCUGAAUAAAAAUGCCGCUCCCGGCGGCGGAGGGCGGGAGGGCCCGGGCCGCGCCUGGGCGCCGCGGGGGCUCGGCCUGGCUCGGCGGGCCCCUGCCGGGAACGGGGCCGCCGCGCUCCGCCGUGCGCCGCGCGCGAGGGGCCUUUAAGGGCCGGCUACCUCCCUUUAAGAGGCGGCGGGCCGCGGCCGGAGCGGCUCGGUGGCUGCGUGCGGCCCGGGAAGGGGGCGGGGGCGAUGUGCAGGCCCGAGCGCGGCAAUGAUUGGUCUCGGGGGAGGGGUGGGGGGUUGCAAACCCGAGGAGCGGUGGCAUCCGUUGCAUGAUGCAAAAAGGAUUGAUUUCAAAAGUUGCGAGUUGCAUUGGCAGCAGCCUUUGGCGCCCAGGCCACCUACUUUUCCUUGACCCGCUGGAAGGGCCGGGAAUGUUUUCCCGAACCUGCCCGGGCUCAACCGCGCUACGCUCUGCGGGACGCUGUACCUGCUCCCCGAGCGCUCGCGUCGCGUUGUCCUGGAAGACAAUGAGCGUGGAAACAAUUUGAAAAAGACAGGGAGCAGAGGAAAGACCCGGAGCAGUGUAGCCGCCUCUGCUACACUGAAAGAUUUAAAAACAACCGGCGCGAUUGAUUAAUAAUGACUUCCAUGUCUCUUCCCUUCUAUUGUUUAGCCCGGCUCGGGAGUUAAGAUGAGCCUUGAUGAAUAUGCAAACGUCCUGCAGUUUCUGGAACCUUUAAUGUGCUUGGUAGGAAGUCAGAGCUUAAGGUUCCUCAGUUACAUUGUUUGCUCUCCACAUGUCCAAGUAAACAUGGCAGCCUAAUAGCGUAUGGGUUCGAAUUAACACCGAUAGGAGAGCUUCGGCUUGUGAAAUUACUUUUUCCAGGUUUUCAACUUCCUAAUGCACUGCUGGUUGAAAUAAAGCGAAAAUGCUUUCGUACUGCAUCACUUAGGGCUUCCCUUAAAACCGAGGAGUGUGGAGGAACGCCAACCAAACUUUUCCAGAGUGGUGCAGCGUUGUCCAAAUGUAUUUCUGAGCAGAACUGUUGUUGGUAACCGAACGGUGCUUUAGGUUGCGCGUCAGCUUUGCGGGCUGCGCAGAUGCCUUUUUAAUUCUUUAAAAUUUCUGCUUGACAUUCCCCCAGGGUUUUUAUCUAAGUGAGGAUCCAAAAAGUGAUGCAACCUAGAAGACCAGGUUGAUAGCAGCUUCUCCACGCUGUGUCCUUUCUCUGUACUACCGUAAGUUAGGAAAGAAUGUGGUCGCCUGGGUUCUUUAAUGUGAUUUAUGGACUCUUGUAAGAAUGGCAUCACCUUGUGGUUGACAAACCUGCAUUUGCCUCUGAAUCACCUGGGAAGACAGGUCCACACAACCCCAGGCAACACUCCAGACUCCGGCAUCAAGGAAGAAGGAUAUGUUGAAGUCCUAACCUCGAGUACCUAUGAAUGGGGCCUUAUUUGGAAAGAAGAUCCUUGCAGAUGUAAUCAAGUUAAGAUGAAGUCAUACUGGAUUAGGAUGGGCCCUAAAUCCAAUGAGCUAUAACAAAAGGAAGAUUUGGAGACAGAGACCCAGGGAAGAAGGCCACAUGAAGAUGAGGCAGAGAUUGGAGUCAGGCAGCUACAAGCCAAGGAACACCGAGGAUUACUGGCGACCACCAGAAGUAGGAAGAUACCCUCCCAGAAACAUCAGAGAGGCCAUGGCCCUGCCAACACCUUGAUUUGUGACUUCCGGCCUGCUGAGCUGUGAGAGAAUACAUUUCUGUUGUUUUACGCCACCCAGUCUGUGGUAUGUGUUACAGCAGCCACAGGAAACCAAUAUAGCGUGUCUGAGGUGUACGUUGGGGGACGAGGUGCUAAGAAUCCAUGCUUUGGAUGGGCUCACCUGGUGGUGGUGGUGCUUUAGGGGAACACUGCACUAAAGAAUGCUGCUUUCUCAGAAACCCAGAGGGCAGGAGGCUGCCCGUUCAUCUGCUUCCCACGUUCUGCUAGCUUCGGUGACGUUACUUUCCCUCUGUCCUGCCUUUCUCAUGUCCCGCCUGUCUUUCGGGUUCUUGCUAUCCAGCGUUACACCAUCUGAUGCCACACUGGUCACUUCCUUACGUUGUUUGAGUCAUGCUCAUUCAGAUAUGGCCCCUGAUCUGUGAUCAUGGGGGGUGGUGGGAGUGUCCAAUCAGAGCUAAGACCCGGUGGGCAAUGGACACAUCAUAUUAUUAAAUUUAGCUUUACUCCACAUAAGCUGCCCAUUCUCGUGGCUAUACUGUGAACCUCCUCAUUCCUAGAAAUCUUAAACACCAACAUCCUGUCUUCAAUCCUAUAGUCCUCUCAUUGCUUUACUCCCUGACACCUGCACAUCAACUGCAUAGUGGCCGCCAGUCUCUCUCCUUCCAUCCAGCCUGGAUCCCUUGGUCAGCUCAGCAGCCUGGUCCCCUGCACCUCCCCUUCUUUGACCACACCCACCCACAAACAUGCAGCCUUAGGUCCCUCCCACCUGCCAUGUUCUCUGCCCUUUUGCUGGGCUGGAGAAAACGUAGAACUUGGAGACCAUGCCAUUACAGAUGUGUGAUCUCCAGUGCCACCUGGGCCUUUCUGACAGCUGGAAAAUCCUUAAGUAUGUUAUUCCUAAUGUUCGUUAUUCUCCCCGAAGUUUAUACCACAGUUUACUGCCCUCAGUGGCAGAUGCAUCUCAAGAAGAAAAUGUACACCAUGGGAGGGAGCCUCCAACUUUCCCAUACCGUUCCCAUCCCACCCCUUGGACCAGCACGCCAGUGUCUGGGAGGGAGGACCACUUCUGAAUGUCCAAGGCUGGUCCCCUGCCUGUGCUCCAGCUGCCACCCUUCCAACAAUAGCUAACUUUUGUUGAGGACUUGCUACGUAUCUACGUAUGUAUCCCACUGUACAGAGUGUUUUCUGACCAUCACCUCUUAGAAUUCUGGCAACAUCCCCUUGAGGUAAGUCCUAUUGUAUAUUUUCCUUUCCUGGAGGAAAGCAGGGCUCAGACUGAUUAAGCAGCUUGCCCAAAGUCACUGUCUUACUUUGGGUCCCCCCCCCCAACCCGGGCAGAACUGGAGACAAGGACUUGGGGGAAGGAAGUCUUCAGAAGGUAGUUUCAGGAAGCACAAGUCAAGAAGUGGGCAAAAUAAGACAGGAAAGGGAGAAAGCCAAAAAGCAUGUAAAUGAUUAGGUUAGCACAGUGGGUAGUGGGGCUCAGCCCUGUUGGCGCCUCUCUCAGAAACUGUGUGGAACCCCCUCUGGUUGGCGGAAUAAUGCACCUCCUGCCCCCAGAAGAUUGUCUAUGUCCCAUUCCCCGGAACCUGUGAAUAUAUUAUGUUCCAAGGUAAAGAGGAAUUGAGUUUGCUAAUCAGUUAACCUUAAGGAGAUUAUUCUGGGUUAUAUGGGUGGGCCCAGUGUAUCCACAAGCGUCCUUAAAAGUGGAAGAGGGAAUAGAGAACAGAGCGAUGUCAGCCUGAGAAGGAUCUGGCCCGACAUCGCCGGCUUUGAAGAUGGAGGAAGGGGCAUGAAUCAAAGAAAACAGGAGCCUUCUGGAAGCUGGAAAAGCAGCAAUAGAAAACGAAUACAUCUCCUUAAAAUCACGCCACUGGCAGGCUGGAAGGCUGAGGCACUCAUCCAUGGACUCUCAUCUUUCAUUGGCUGAGGGUUGCCCCUGGGGCAGUGGACGGAGACUCAGAACUUCCUGCCCUGGAGAAGCAGCCCUGGAGGACCAGGCAGGCAGGUGAUGGAGGUGGAACACUGCCAGUGGGCUGGAAACUCUCCCCAACGCUUCAGGUGAAACCAGAAGCAGGCUGGGCAUUGAUGGUGUCGACAGCCUCUGCCACAGGGCCCAGCUGUAAGCAGUCAAGCCAGGAUUGGAACGGGGUUAAGUGUGGAGCCCACGUGCCUAGCCUAGGACUUCCCUGUGGCAUUUGAGGCCAUGACAUAGGAGGCUCAAGGGCUAUUUCUACUAGACAGUGCUAUUCCGGAGGACUCCCCCAUCCCCAGAGCCCCAGACACAGACAUUCACCACUUAGGUGGCUCUCGUUGCCUCUGGCUCCACUUUUCCAGUUGCGGUUCUCACUCAUGGGUGUGCACGGAUGAUCGUAGGUGGUAUGUGGAAGAACAUUAAUUUGUAUAGUCACAUGUUCGUUGUAACACACAUUGAGAAGAUUUAACUGACAUAUAAAACCUGUGAUUUCAUGGACAUUAUUAUUUAGGACAAAAAGGGAGUCAACUUAAAGAAAAAUUUAAAGAAACAAGAGCACAGCCUAAAGUGAUAGCAUUGGUCAAGUAAAUAAUAGCUACAGGAUAAAUUUCAGAAAAAUACAAACAACCUGCAUGAUCCAGCUUCUCCUUUUCCUCUCUGAUCUGAUCUCCGGAAGGUGCCCGCUUUCUCUUCUUCAGCCACACAGCCAUACUGAGUGCAUCCACACCCCCAGGCUCACCUGCUCUUUCUCCACUUUGCGUCUUGGCAAGCACCAUAUCUUUGCUUGUACCACCUCGUCUCCCUUUCUGGCAAAGGAAAACCAAACUUGUAAGAUUCUGCUCCAAGAGCCUUCCCUCUGAAGAGUUCUCUGGCUACUUCGGGGGAACAACCACCCCAUCUGUGGUAGGCAGAAUAAUGGCCCCUCAAAGAUGUCCACAUCCUAAUCACCCAUGAAUAUGUUACCUUGCGCGGCAAAAGGGACUUUGCAGAUGUGACUAAGUUAAGGAGUUUUUGAUGAGAAGAUUAUCCUGCAUUAUCUGGGUGAACAAGUGCAACCACCAGCAUCUUUUUAAGGAAAAAAGGAAGACAAGAGGAUAGAAAGAGAUGUGACAAAGGAAGCAGAGGUCAGAGUGAACUGGGGCCACCAGCCAAGGAAUGUGGGCAGCUUCCAGAAACUGGAAAAGGCAAGGAAAUGGAUUCUGCCCAAGAGACUCCAGAAGGAACACAGCCCUGCCAACCCAUUUUGGUCCUCGUCGUGGAACCUAUCCUGCUGAUUUGCAGUUCUUAUUCCAUAUAACUAAUCUCUCCUCCACAAUUCCACCCCUCCUCCAGAAGCCAUGAGCUCCUUGUAGAGACUGUGUCAUGUGUAUCUUUGCGGUAGGAAUGGCAGGAGAGUGGUAUUCUGGAAUUUGGGGACAAAGAAUUUAAGAAGGUAGGAGGAGUCAACAUUGUCAAGUACUACAGAAAAGUGAGGCAAGAUAAGGACCGAAAAUAGAUCAUUGGAUUUAAGAGGUCCCUAGUGGCCUUGGGAGAAGAUACUCACAUGCAGACGCCAGAGUGGAAGAUGAUGUAGUGGGCUGAUGAGUGAGUGGGAGUUGAAGAAGUGGAGAUAAUGAGCAUAAACACCUCUUUUAAGAGAUGUGUUGGAGAAGAAGAAGAGAGGACAUUCACCUGAGAGGGAAGAGAAGGAGUUUGUUUUUUAGAACCUCAAAAUCUUGGAGAGGUAUGUACGCCAAAGCGAAGCAGUCAAAGCAGAAGAGACUAAAGAUAUGAGAAUGGGAAGUGACAGGGAGAUGAAGAUCCAAAAGACAGGGAGGAGGAGAGGGAUUCUGGCGUGCGGACCGAGGCAGAAGAGGAAGCGAGGACGGGGGCUCUGGGAGGAAAGAACACUGUGGGAAAAAGCAGAUUAUUUUUCUUUCUUGCAUUUUUCACAUCCCUCUCUCUUCCUGUCUCCACUGAUUAAAAUGAGUGAUGUUGCACAUAAUUCCAAAAAAUGCAUAGACCACCCCCUCCCAAAUCCUGAGACCUUGAUAUCCAUCCACUCGUGAUAACUUAUCCUGUUCUUCCCUUGAACAUUCCGUUCCCUCUUUUUUUUUUUAAGGAAAGCUGCUCUUGCCUUCUAGCCAGAUAUGCUCUCCCCAUUUCCAGCUUCCUGUCCUUUGGGUAUUCUGCAAUAUAAUGAAUGAACAGUCUUGAUCGCCUUGGUUCGGGUGCAUCCCUUCACAUAUUUCUGAAUUACUUGUCACUGGCUCUCCUCUGUGCCCCAGGUUUAAGAUCCUCUGCCACGGUCGCAUUGUAAUAAAUAAUGAUUGUUAGAAGCCAAAUUUUCUCUAGUAUUUGGUGCAGGGAGAAGUAAGGAAGGGAGAGAUGCAGAAGAGAAAGGUUGGGAAGACGGUGUGUGUGCAUGUAUGUUUCAGGCUUGCUGUCUAUUUCCUGCUCUAAUAAUUUGUUAAAUAAAAAAUUGGCUCCAGACUUAAGUCCUAAGUGAACUAGAGUUCACUGUUCUCCAAGCAAAGAAGCAGCUAUUUAUUCACAUUCGUUGUUCUCAAUGCUUAAUCCACGGCAGACUUUACCCUUGGCCCCCAAAUAACACCAUCUUCCUUAAUUAUCUCCUCUGGUCAGAGGCCACUUGGGAAAAGAAUCGCAAAUUGAGCUCAUCCUGCCCAACGGUUACUGUCCUCGUCUGCCACUUACACUGUUAGCAAUGUGCUUGGCAUAUGCUGAGAACGGCUCAAGGGUGGACCCAGCCUCAGCGCCUCCAGACUCGAAACUAGACAGGAUACAAGAGGAGAAAUAAUAAAUAAAUAACGGCAGAGGCAAAAAGAGGUUUCAUUUUAAAUCUCCCAGAGCCCCCACAUCUGGAACACAGGGACCAUGUCUGGUUUUGGAUGUUGUUGAGGUUUGGCCUUCUUUAGCUCGAAUUCCUCUGAGCAAAGCUGAUCCCCCUCUGUCCUUCGUGGUGAGCGAGAGUGUUUCCAUUUCGAUGCUUUGCAUGCAGAUCCAAGCAGCACAUGGGUGGCGGUACUGGAUAAGCGCUAAGUUCCUUUUCGGCCUGAAGAUUCUGUGAUCCCAUUGAGGGGAAAGUGCACCCUUGACAAUUUAUUGGUGGUAAUUUCCUGUGUUCAUUCUGGCUUCCAGUUGAUUCUACUUUUCUGUAUAUUGCUCAAAUCCAUUCACUUUUGUUCUUCUCUGCUGGUUCUUCCUAAAUUCACAUUUCAUUUGCCUGAAUGAUUUGCAAGAUCUCAGCUAUGGACUGAAGGUUUGUAACCUCCCCAAAUUCACAUAUGGAAGCGCUCCCCCCUCAAUGUGAUGGUGUUAGGAGAUGGGGCUUUUGGGAAGCGAUUAGGUUUAGAUGAGGUGUGGAGGGUGAGGGCCCCUGUGGUGGGAUUAGUGCCCGUAGAAGAGGAAGAGAACAGAGCUUUCUCUCUUUCUGCCACGUGAGGACACAGCAAGAAGGUGACCAUCUGCAAGUACGAAGAGGGGCCUCACCAGACACCAAAUCUGCAUCAUGAUCUUGGACUUCCCAGCCUCCAGAACUGAGAGAAAUAAAUAUUUGUUGUUUAAGCCCCGGAGUCUAGGGUAUUUUGAUAGAGCAGCCCGAACUGCCUAGCACUGUCUCCAGCUGCUUCCACUCUUGUUGCAGCCCUCUUACACAUCUCCCCUGUUCCAUCCUGAAGCACAAUGCAGAUAACGCCACACCCCAGCCUGAAAACCCAGAGGGCCCCUCACUGCCUAUGGAGUCAGGCCCACAUCUUUUAACCCAGGUAGCCAUGCUUGACCAGUGGUAAAUUACUCAUCAGCCCCAUUGUUAUUAACACCCAAUGUCAAGACUCUAAGACGCCACCUGGCUGCCAAAAGAAAGUCCUGCCUUUUGCAGUGCCUCCCUCUCUGAAAGUCCUGGAGAUGUCCAAGGUGCUUCUAUUUCCUGCAGGUCAAGCCUAGUUACUGGUCCCUCUGUCGCCCUUUGCACAGCCAAUGCCGGACACUCUUGACACGAAAGGUGAAUGCCAGAGACCUGCAGUGGUCAAGAACGUGAGAGCCAGUGUGUCUCCCAUUUUUUGAGCUUUAACUUAAAAACAUUAAAAACGCCACCGAUGAAACACCAAUGGUUUCCAAGUAGUUAGUAAAGAAAUUGUAUUCAUACCAAAAAAAUAAAAUAAAAAUGCCCUAAAUUGCAAACAGAAGUGGUAUAAUUAAAGUAUAUAUAUUUAAUAAAUUAAUGCUUUUCACACACACAAAAAUCAAUGCAAUAUGAUUGUACUAGUUAUAGGAUAAUUAGAGGUUUUAUAGAGGAAGAAUAAAUCUUUACACUUAUAUAAGAAAGUAUAAGAGUUUAUCUUUGUGUCCUUAGAGCAAGAGGAAUUUCUUAAAUAAGACAAAAAAACGCAAAUCAAGAGGGAAAUAGCCUUACAUUUGGCUAUAAUAAUACUUAAAACUUCUAUGUAAUAAAAAUAUACUUAAACCAAGUUAUGGGCAAGCCACAGACUGGGAGUAGAUAUUCGUAAAGCAUAAUCAACAAAGGAACAAUUUAUAGAAUAUGUAAAGAAUGCAUACAAAUCAAUAAGAAGAAAAAAACAAUCCAAUAGAAAAAAUGGUGAAGUUCCAAAGAGGGAAUUCACAAAAGAGGACAUCUGAGUGGCUAAUAAAUACAUGAAAAGACGUUCAAUCUCAUCAGUAAUCAGGAGAAUGAAAAUUAAAACGAGAUGCUAUUUUAAAGCCACUAGAUUGGCAAGAAUUAAAAGUCCAGCAAAACUAAAUGCUGUAAAAAUGUGGGGGAAUUGGGGCUGUCUUAUGGUGGUAGCAGGAAUGGAAGACAUUAAAACCUUUUUGGAGGGCAAGUGAAUGUUCUCCGGUAAAGUCAAAGAUGUAUAUAUCCUCUGACUCAUUAAUUCCUCUUCCAGGAGAAUGUGCACAAAGAGACACAUACAAGGAUAGUUGUCAUAGCUAAAAAUGGGAAAUCAUUUAAAUUUCCAUCAAUACAGGAGUGGGAAAAUGUUGCAUAUUCAUAUCAUGGAAUACUAUAUAGCAGUUAAAAUGACUUAAAAACCCUCUAAAUAUAUCAACAUGAAGGAAUCUUAAAAUGUAACGUUAAUGGAGUUAUUGUUAAACAGGUAUGAAGUUUCAUUCCAGGAAGAUGAAAAAGUUUGGGACAGGGCUGGUGGUGAUGGUCACACAAGGUGAAUGUGGUUAAUGCCAUUGAACUGUAUACUUAGAAAUGGUUAAAAUGGUAAAUUUUAUGUUAUGUAUAUUUUACCACAUUAAAAAAGAAAAUCAUAAUGAACAGAAAAAGUGCACCGUGAAAUGCAUUAGGUGGCACAUUCAUGACAUUUAAAGACUUUAGAUAAUACUACUACAUACUUAUGGAAUCUGCAUGUAUAUGAUAAAUAUAUAAAGACGAAGAUGAGAAGGAGUCUCAGAUGCAAGACAUUGACUUCUGGGAACGAGAGGAGGAAAGUCUGACUUGGUGGCUAUGCUUGAAUUCUAUCUGUGAC